Molecule: long non-coding RNA, 3610 nt
Organism: Trifolium pratense (red clover)
Lineage: Eukaryota; Viridiplantae; Streptophyta; Magnoliopsida; Fabales; Fabaceae
Exons: 12
Source: RefSeq, a predicted model, not a curated record
AUUCUUUGCAUGUCUCAUGGCUGGUUUUGAGAUUGCUGGUUUAAAGAAACAAUUGACACAAGUAGUUUAUGGAAACAAUUGUGGUUUUAUUAUUUCUUUCCCAGUGUUUUUUCAUUUGUCAAGUUUUUCUCUCUCUCUCCCCCCUCUCGUACGCUCUCACUCUUUCUCCUCACACUUUCAUCUCUCUUUCUCCUCCCCAUCUCAUCCUUCACCAUAACAUCCACACCACAACCUCCACCACCAUCUACAAAUCAAUCACUCGUAAGAGUGAGGGAGUGGCCGAGUGAGAGAAGCCGGCGGGAGAGAAGUUCUGGCGAGGAGGAGGAGUUCCGGCCGAGAGAGUUCUUGUGGCCGUUUGUGGUGACACGGCGGUGCUUGGCAACGGCGGCAUGAAGCUUCUUGCUCCUUCUUUCUCCUGGUUCGAUCUCAAAUUGCUCCAUAGAAGGAUAAGGCUCCUCCAUAGAAAAAUCACUAUGACCACAAUUUCAGAAAGAGAUGAAUGAUGGUUGGGUUGGUUUGGAAAAGGCACCUGAUGGAUCUUUCAAGAAGAAGAUUCUGGAUUAGGGGUAUGGCUUUUGUCUAGGGUUAAGCCAUCAGAGAUUUUUUUGAAAUCUAUAUCAAAGGAAGUUACUGGUGUUGAAGUCAUUUACCCAUCAAGGGUAAGGGAAUGGGUAUUUUCCGUAAGAGAAGGAACAAUUGUGAAACAGUACCAAGUAGAUAAGUAAGGUAUUGGAUGCCACCCUUGAAGAUUUGGAGUUUUCUAAUAAACACUGAAAGGAGAAGGAACUUUCAUAUAGGUCUAUCCAAAUCUCAACUUGAUCUAUGCUGUUCAUGUUUCCUUACUUCUUUUUCGUCCUUGCUCUACUUUUGCAAAUUGUGUCAAUAUUUCAGAUAUUACAUGCCUUUCCUAAUACAUUUGUUCAUCUUUUUAUUUUGAUUAUUACUUUUAUUAUAUCAUUGUAUAGGACUGUAGUAUGAGCAUGUAGGUCUAUCAUUUGUUCACCUUGCUAAAUUUGGUUGUAUCCAUAGUUAAUGCUCCUACAUUGAUGAAUGGCUUCUGAUGACUACAUAGUGAGGGACAUACUAUGUGGACAGAUACGGGUCAAACAAUUGAACAUAAUACUGUGUUUCUCUAUAUAAAUACUAAUAGAGCAGUCAUAAGUCAGAUGUUAUUCAUUUUGUACAUGUUAUUUCCUCUCUUUUUUCCCUGUCAAUUCUCUUAUUUAUGAGGCAGCUAUAAAAUUUAUCAUUAUUCUAUUUAUUUAUUUUUUUAUUUUUAGAGUUGUGGUCAUGAGUUGAAGAAGCAAGAUCUCAUUUCAUCUAUUCUUUCUACAAAUGCCGGAUUAUGGACACAUCUAUCAACUAUGAUUUUGGAUAGAACUGGUUUAUGUAUCAAGAUUUCUUCAAAAGCUGAAUGUAAGGUCUUGGAUGCCACCCUUGAAGAUUUGGAGUAAGUGUGUUUAUCUAACUCAGUGCACUUUAUUCAAUCAUUUUUUGUAGUGUACUUAUCCACUUGGUUGUUUUUACAUUGAGAUUUUGAUAAUUUCCGAUUUUGUAGUUUUUUUUUUAGUGUAGGUUUUGAUAUGUGAUUUCUUGAAUCCAUCAUGGGACAAGAGUGAGUAACAUGAAAUUUGAUUUGAGGGUAGUUUUGAUUCAGUUUCAAUUAUUGCUUUUGACAGUGUCGCUUCUACCGUCAAGUCUGCAGUUGAUAUUCAAACACCGGGUGAUCUUAUAACUCUUACUGCUGCAGCUGCAACAGAAAUGUUGUUGUUUCGUUUUGGCGUGGGCCUGUGAUUUUGAUAUGGAUGCCGGUUGGUUUUACCAGAUUUGCACUAGGUGUGCUUCCAGGAUCAAUUUUAUUGCAGGACAACUCUAUUGUGACAAGUGCAAAAUGCCACAAACUACGGUACCUAGGCUUGCACCAAAUGUGCAUCCAAAAUUAAUUUCAUUGGAGGCCAGUUUUACUGUGAAAAAUGCAGGAUGCCAAGAACUGCUAUACCUAGGUUUUCAGGAAGAACUGCACAAGACUUGCUUGAUGCAGCAUUUUGCAGAUAAAGGAUGGAUUUUGAUCUAGCUUGAAGGUUUUGAUCAUCUGUUAUAAGAGUUAUACCGAGACAAUUGAUACAUAGGAAUUACGGUUAUACCUGAGGAACUUGAUUAGUCAUUUUUGUUGAACAACCGUCAACCAACCAGCAACAACCAAAAAACGCACUCACGGAGAUAGCAAAAAAGUGCAAAUUUUGAGGUAACGAGAAAUACAAACGAGAGUUUAAAGAUGGUAAAGGUAAAUUUAAAAUUGAAUCAUAUUCGAUUACACCUCUGAUAUGUCUAUUUUGUUCUUAUAAAGUAAAAAUUUGAGUAUGAAUUCUUUUUGGGAGUUGCAACCCUAAGUAGAGAACAUUUCUUAGUUUUAUUCUAUCAUUUUGUUAUGUGCUUAGAGCCUCUAAGCACAUACUGCUUUUAUUAUUAAAUAAAAUCCUUUCCAAGAACCAUAUCCUAGACCUGUCCAUUCCAAGAACCUGUCUAUUCUAUACCACACCAGAUUUGAAUUCAACCUUCAAAAAAUAGAAAUAGAAUUCAACCUUAAAAGGUCAUAAUUAAUAGUAUUAUAGUAAUAAUAAGUGAUUCAACUUUAUUACUGGAUCACACUAUUAUCAAAGAAUACUGGCCAGAUUUGGUUUUCUCUAAACAUUGGGCUGCCUCACACCUGUACCCUCUUUUUGGUCAUGCUCAUGUAACAAUUUACUUAGGAGUACAGUAAUAAAAUUUUAGAUAUACUGAACCAUAAAAUUUAGAUAUACUGAAGCUAUAGACCAAUUCAUUCAUGCUUAGGUCAGGUCCAGCAUAACAAAUGAGUCCAAAGCUGAUCCAAAGAUGAAUCCAAUACCAUGAAAUACAGUGGAUAAAGUGUUUUAGGAAGUUAUUGAUUCUUUUGAUUUCUUCUCUUUUAUAUUUUGGUAUUCUUUAAACACUAUCAAUUAUCUUUUAUGUGAUUUCAUCAUCAUCCCUUGAGGAAGUUUUCUUUCCCAAAAACAAAGAUGAAAAAACGAUCAAAAGCAGGUAAGAAAACUCAUUUUGUUUUUCUUGGUAAACAUGAUUACAGAAUGUCUGCUGUAUAUAUUUAUCUGAAAUUCUGAAUUUUGAUGAAAUCAUAUAAUAUAGUCAAUUACUUGAAGAGUCAGUGACUGAAUUUUCCUUACUUAUUUCUCGAUUUCUUUCGGCAUACCUGGCAACGGGAAUGAAUGAACAUGUAGUACACACAACAACGGCAGCAGAAUCUGCUUCACCAAUUGGAGCUAUAGGUGGUGCUGCUGAGUAAAGGAAAUAGACUAUAGGCGCUUUCGUAUGCUUUGAGUCUGUAUUAGGUGGUAGUUUAAUUAGUGUAAAUGAGAAUGUUAGCAAGUGAAGCUAUGGCUUUGAAGAGAUAUUAGUAGUUUAUUUAGAAGGAGCUUUAUCUUUGCAUAAGGAUUGACUAUUAACAGUAUUUUAUGGCCUACUCUUGACUUGUGUUGGUGUACUUUGGUCACUAGGAUGUACUUUUUAAUGUAUUGGUGUCUUUGUUUGAAAUAUUUGGUACUCUCUUAAUGAAAUGUAUCCAAUCUUCGGCUAA